This 121-nucleotide ribosomal RNA is filed under the name Rhodanobacteraceae bacterium. The record is from RNAcentral. Lineage: Bacteria; Pseudomonadati; Pseudomonadota; Gammaproteobacteria; Lysobacterales; Rhodanobacteraceae.
UUCCCUGGCGGCCAUAGCGGUGUGGUCCCACCCGAUCCCAUCCCGAACUCGGAAGUGAAACGCACCAGCGCCGAUGGUAGUUUGGCAUUCGCCAUGCAAGAGUAGGACACUGCCAGGGGCU